GGGAGUUAAGUAUGUAUUACUGAUAAGGUUACCGGAACAGCACACAUAAAGUACAAUAUUUUUGUGAAUGCAGUUUUUAACCGAUUAGGCAUUGAUCAUUCAAACAAAAUCAUGCAUUGUACUGUUAAUUUUAAUGGGUUCAAAAUUAAUAAGGCCGAGGACCUCAUGAAGAUGGUGCAAAUACUUUGUUAAGAAUUAC
RNAcentral lists this long non-coding RNA (199 nucleotides) under Capsicum annuum. RNAcentral describes it as "long non-coding RNA (CANN_LNC004321)". Lineage: Eukaryota; Viridiplantae; Streptophyta; Magnoliopsida; Solanales; Solanaceae. The record is from RNAcentral.